Molecule: non-coding RNA, 976 nt
Organism: Manis javanica (Malayan pangolin)
Lineage: Eukaryota; Metazoa; Chordata; Mammalia; Pholidota; Manidae
Source: RefSeq, a predicted model, not a curated record
ACUGAGGAGGAGGAGGAGGAGGAGUCCGAAGAUGAGGAGGAGACUGAGGAAGAGGAGGAGACUGAGGGGAAGGAGGAGGUGGCCACCUUGGAGCCGCCCGCGAAGCCGGCGGAGGAGCCCGAGGGGGCGGGAGCUUAUGCGGAAACCGAGGGUCUGGGAGAGCAAGGGAGAACCUCCCGUGGCAUGAGCACAGGCCUGUAAGGUGGAUUGAUUCAUGUACAUCCCAGUAUGGACUCUCAAGCUAAAGAAAAGGCAUUUAUGGAGUUAGGCAAGCGGGACAAGUUUGGUAUAGUCACGAGAUCUAACCCACCGGUUCCACCAGCAUCCUGUGGGAAAGGAAUAUGGAGUCAAAGGACAUUUCCAUUUGUUCGCCUUUUGAAAGUAACAGGCUACCACUGCCUAUCGGUGGAGAAAUGCUGAUGAAGAGAAAGAUUACCGUUACAAGACAGAAGUCCUUGAGGUGGCCACAGGAAAUGGCAUUUCCCGUGCCCUGCUGUCAGAGUGCUUUCCAAAAGGGCACUUGUGAUGAUGCAAUUCCUCUGCUCCAAAAUUCUUCACAGCUCUCCACCGCCUACUACAUGAACCCAACGUUCAAGACUGGCAUGUAAGCCCAGCUCCAACCAAACCUUCCAGCCUUGUUAUCCCUCAGCAAGUCCCCAUGUGUAUCCUCUGUGAAAGCCAACGCAAGCUACUCACUGUACCUUCAUACUCUGUGUUCUCAUCUCCAGGGCUUUGCUGGCACCCUCUGCCCUCAGUUCUGCCUUCUGAAAGCCUCAUGCUUCAGUGCCUUCCCUGAUGUCCUAGCAGAAAGUAACCCCUCACUGCCCCAGCGCCUGCAGCACUAUGCAGUUCUUAAGGCCUGUACAAAAACUAUCAACUGUUAGCAGUCAUAGUUUCAGAUUAUAAAGGACAUGUGUAUGUUCUCAUUUAGCCUCCUAAUUAACACUGUCUUAUCUAAUAAAAUGUUGAGUUUGAG